GUGGGGAAUAUUGGACAAUGGGGGCUACCCUGAUCCAGCCAUGCCGCGUGAGUGAUGACGGCCUUCGGGUUGUAAAGCUCUUUUACAUGGGAAGAUAAUGACGGUACCAUGAGAAUAAGCACCGGCAAACUUCGUGCCAGCAGCCGCGGUAAUACGAAGGGUGCAAGCGUUGUUCGGAAUUACUGGGUGUAAAGGGCGUGUAGGCGGAUUAGUUAGUUAGUGGUGAAAUCCUUGGGCUCAACCUGAGAACUGCCAUUGAUACAGCUAGUCUGGAGUAUUAGAGAGGAUGACGGAAUAUCCAGUGUAGAGGUGAAAUUCGUAGAUAUUGGAUAGAACACCGGUGGCGAAGGCGGUCAUCUGGACAGGUACUGACGCUGAGGCGCGAAAGCGUGGGGAGCAAACAGGAUUAGAAACCCUGGUAGUCC
RNAcentral lists this ribosomal RNA (425 nucleotides) under uncultured bacterium. RNAcentral's name for it is "partial 16S ribosomal RNA". It matches the Rfam family "Bacterial small subunit ribosomal RNA", at positions 354 to 796 of the family's 1533-position model. The record is from RNAcentral.